UUUUUUUUUUUUCUUUUUUGUUUUUGCUUCUUUGUUUCUAUUAACCCAGGGAACCAAAAUGAUCAUCACAAAAUUGACCUGAGGAAUUUAUACUUUUCUUCUUCCCUCCUUUGAGUCUGGGUCUCUCUUCUCCUCCCUCCAGAUUUCAAAUUGGCUCCAGAUUUUAUAUGAGAAGCAGUAACAGAUCUAAAAGAAACAAACUGAGAAGGAAUUUAAGGAGCAAACUAACUGAUGAACUCUAAUCUGCUCGCUACAGGUUUGAGUGAAAAAUCCAUGCUAUGCUCAAGAAGAAUUCAGCCAUUCACAGAGGAGGUCAGGUCAGGCUGAUGUCUAUAUUUGGCAUCUCAAAAAAAAAAAAAAAAUUACAUCAUUUAUACAUUCAACAUUUAGGGAACACUUUACCAAGAGUCUGGCUAGUUGUUACAGAUUAUCGAGUUGAAUAAAACAAGGCUUUUUCUGCCUCCAAGAUUCAAUUAGGUAACUGCCAACACCACCGCUCAUAUAUUUUCACACACCUGUCUUCUCACUGAAUCUGUAAUUUUUACUUAGGGCAAGAACAGUAUUCAUUUACAUAUGCUUAGUAAACACUAGCUGAUGAUUUACUAAAGGCUCCUGUGCUUUAUGAGUUCAUGGUGAAACAAAAGAGUUGAGCAUAUAAAUAGCAAAUUAAGAUUACAGGGUAAUACUGCUGCUACAGAGAAAAGAGCCAAAGCAUGGGGCCACAAAGGAAGCCUGCUGAGGCAGGGGUAGGCGUAACCGCAGAUGUGACACUGAAAUAAGAGUUGAAAGAUAAGGAGAACUCUAUCAGUGGAGGAAAAGUGAUAGUAGAGGGAAUUUCCUGCAGAGAAAACAGCAUGUACAAAAAUAACUAAUAGCUAAUAAUUAUCAAGGACUUUUUGGGAGUUCCCAUCGUGGCGCAGAGAAACGAAUCCGACUAGUAACCAUGAGGCUGCAGGUUUGAUCCCUGGCCUUGUUCAGUGGUUAAGGAUCUGGAGUUGCCAUGAGGUCGAAUAUGCGGCUCGGAUCCUGCAUUGCUGUGGCUGUGGUGUAGGCCGGCAGCUGUAGCUCCAAUCAACCCCUAGCCUGGGAACCUCCAUAUGCCAUGGGUGUGGCCUGAAAAAGCAUUAAAAAAAAAAAAAAAGAAUUAUAUGAAACAGGUUGAGAAUAUAUUAAGGAUUAAUUCAAUCAUAGUUAUUAUAUUUCAGAAAAGAAAUAGCAUAUAUGGAAUGCCUAUGCCAUAAAAUAAUUUUCAUAUAUUAUUUCAUCUCUACAGCAACCCGGUAGAGUAUAAAAACCCUAUGAUGCUAUCACUUUAAUCUUACAUUGAGGAAAAUGAGACUCAGAGGCAUUUAAGUAACUUGUCCAAGGUCACACAGGUAGCACUUAGCAGAGCCUGCUUUCAGACCAAGGUCUUUCUGAGUCCAAAGCCUCAGUCUCUGUUCUUUGCAGUUUACCUGCCUGCACCCCAGAUAAGUUCCAGUGUAGAAAAAAUAAGGAGGAAUCAGAUAUGCCCCAAAUGUCUGAGGUCAGUGUGAGGGACUAGAAAGGAAAGAUUGGAUCACAUUCACAUGUAGCUUGGGAUGUGUAUGAAAAAUGUUUGGAACAUGUGCAAGAUGAGGCAGGGGAGAAACCAAAAGGGAAGAAGACAGCCAACAGCAAAUGUCAUGCUCCUCAACUUCUCUUUCAGCUAAUAACACAAUAAUAGUAGAGAUGACUCAUAAUCAUAUUUCAGUCCUUGUGCUAGGAGUCUCCAAGGUAAAAAUCCCAUAUUGUAAUACCAGUGUGUUGUUUCCUCUUGAUCUUACUACCAUUAUGUCCCAGAAAAUGUUCCAAAACCUAACAGAGGAAGUUCAGAAAAAUCACAGGAAAUAUCUAACCUCCUUUAUUCUAAGAAAUGGAAACAAACUCUUCAAGGUUAGUUCUUAUGUGCAUCAUUAGCAUCAAGGCAUGUUGGAAGAGGAUUCAGGUAACUAAUAAAGCAUAGAUGGCUUCAAAUCACCCUACAGAAAAACAAAAGCUCUUUCACAAUAACAUAACAAAAAAACUUGAUUUCUGGUGUUUUCCUCUGUCACACAGCUCCCCUAAACUUGGAACAAAUAGGCCUUUGCAUUCUCCAGUCAAUGCCCAGGAAACUUUCAUACUGUAAAUGUUUUGAGUCAUGCAGUCAGCAGUCAGGUUAGGCACAAGUAGAAAUGGCAGCACAGAAAACCAAACCAAACAAACAAACAAAACUCUCCUUGGAAUAAAAAGUUCUCAAGUGAGGCACCAUACCAAGUUCUCCCACCUGAUGCCACAAGGCUGUGAACCCAGAAAGAUGCAUAGUCCAGGCUUAGAACGCAAACUUGGAGAAAGAAAACAAAGAAGGGGUGGCUCAGCAGACUCUGAUAGGGAGUGAAAUAAUCCUGCCUGUUUAAAUUUAUAAGGACAGUUUGAAAUUCUCUACUAAUACAUCCAUCCUCUUGUGAACUUUUCCGAAGUAGAACUAAUGGCAUAGAAGUUAGCAGAUCUCACAGAAAACUCAUUCCUAAGGGACUACCUGUAAACUCAGAAGUUUCUGUCUUCACGUGAUCAAAUGCUCAGCAGAACCCCCUCUUGCUCACUCACCGGCACUCAAAGUGCUUUACCCCUCAGCACCAAAACCCCCUGUGCCCAGCCUUUCCUCUUCUCUUCUUGGCCCCAGAAAGGCCUCAGGCAAUAGAGCUGCGGGACCCGGGGGAGCACCCCUCCCCUCCCUGCCAUCCCCAUUAUUCGGCACACAGCCCUGUUCUCCCCUGGAGCCAACAGUCUGCAGCUCCUUCAAUGCAGGCGCGAGCAGGCAAGAAUAGUGGGAAGAGAAGCUGUGCCAGCUGCAUGUUUCAGAAUCUCCCUCCAUAUGCAUUUGCCAAAGGAACAAAAAGAAAAUCAACGCCAGGAAGACAACUGAGAUGAGGAUGCGGUGGGACCGCGGCUGACUCCGUGCCUCUUAGCAGCAAGAGGCUGGCCAACCACGCGUCCGAGCCAUAGAUGCGAGUGGUUACCUUCAGGAUGCAGGCCAUGGCGCUCCGCCGGCCCUCCUGCCACCAAGCAGCCGGCGCGCCUGGGUCAGGGGCAGUCCCGGCGGCAGGCUGGAGGCUGGUACCGCUGCAGGACCGCUCCAACCCACAU
Molecule: long non-coding RNA, 3144 nt
Filed under: Sus scrofa (pig)
Lineage: Eukaryota; Metazoa; Chordata; Mammalia; Artiodactyla; Suidae
Description: lncRNA (ENSSSCG00060075072.1)
Source: RNAcentral